Molecule: ribosomal RNA, 329 nt
Filed under: uncultured eukaryote
Lineage: Eukaryota
Description: partial 18S ribosomal RNA
Rfam family: Eukaryotic small subunit ribosomal RNA
Source: RNAcentral
CCCUUAGAUGUCCUGGGCCGCACGCGCGCUACACUGAGUGUCUGAGAUACGAGUCUGCCUGGUCCGGCAAGGUCUAGGUAAUCGCUAAAAGACACAUCAUGCUUGGGAUAGAUUAUUGCAAAUACUAAUCUUGAACGAGGAAUUCCUAGUAAGCGCAAGUCAACAGCUUGCGUUGAUUACGUCCCUGCCCUUUGUACACACCGCCCGUCGCUACUACUGAUUGGAUGUUUAAGCGAGGUUCUCGAACUGCUAGCGACUUAGCUUCGGUGAGGUCGCAGUGUGGGAAGUGAACCUAGCUUUGGUGUCUAGAGGAAGUAAAAGUCGUAACA